Long non-coding RNA from Sapajus apella (tufted capuchin), 4824 nucleotides. RefSeq lists it as uncharacterized. The record is from RefSeq and is a predicted model, not a curated record. The transcript is spliced from 2 exons. NCBI's taxonomy places the organism in Eukaryota, Metazoa, Chordata, Mammalia, Primates, Cebidae.
AGAGAUGGUGUCUCUCUGUGUUCCCAAGGCUAGUCUCAAACUCUUGGGCUAAAAGCAGUCCUCCUGCCCCUGCCUUCCAAAGUGCUGGGAUUACAGGUGUGAGCUACUGCACCUGGUCCUUUCUAUGUUUAAUAUAAUUUAUUCUUAAUACUUACCAAGUUGUAUUCUAAUUUUUUUCCUGAACUUUGUUGUCUACUCACUGUGUUCUCUGAAUUAAUUUUGAGGUCAAGAAUUUUAUGUUUAUCAUGUUAUAGUUACUUAGAUGUAAGCUGAGAGAAUUAACUAGCUGUUUGAUGACUUGUUUUUCAAAUACCAGUGCAGCUCAGUUACGGUUUUCAGUCUGUAUAGAUCACCAAACCUUGACAUUUAUUGAAUAUUAAUGCCUCAGAUAUUAAACCUCUGGUACUUCGGAAAAUACAGGUAGCAUUGAGGUACAACUGCUGUUAUAUUUUUAUAGACUUCAUAUGUGAUUACAUAAUGAAGAGUAAUUUUUAAAAGCAGCCAAAUAAACAAUUUUUUUUGUGCUUGGUUUUCAAUACACCUAACUUUUUACUUCAGAGUAUUAGACUUACAGGAAGACUGGGAGGUUUCCAUUUAGGAAGAAAAAUUUUUUCACUGUUUCCUGUAUUCAAAACAUGGUGCUGAGCACUGUAGAGGAUACGGAGAAUGUUGGACGAUUUUAGGUUCUGAGUACUUAGAGUACUAAUGUUAAAAGAAACAGCUCAAACAUUCUGGGAGUUUAGAAAAUGAAAUUCUCUACUGAGGAUGUUCAGCUUGUCAUUAAAUAGUCUUGGCACUAUUGUGGGGUACUUUUGUGUGUAUAUGUGUGUGUGUGUGUGUGUGUGUGUGUGUGCGCGCGCGCGUGUGUUCAUAAAAUGAUGUGAUUUGUUUAUUAUUCCUGCUGUGUUGUAGGUAUACCUCAUGUCUUUUCAUUUGAAAUGGUAAGUUCUUCUAAUAAUUUUUGGUUCAGAAUGGUAAGAUUUUUUUUGCUAAUGUUAACCUUUUUUUGAGCAAUUGGAGAAGAGGAGAGUCCAGACCAGCAAAUAGACGUGAUUAACUAAUAUAAACAUAUCUUGUGCAUUGUCUAAUAUGCAAUACAAGUAAUAAUUUUAAUCAUUUAAUAGUUUGAAUUAAUAACAAGAUCCUAGGAAGGCAUAAAAAUCGAACUUGUUACUUCUGCUUUGCGACUUGUUUAACGUAUUUGGAGCCACCUUACCAGUGCUUGUUCUACAUAGUGACAGUAAAGUAUAUUUUAGGCUAGUCAGUAUCUAAGAUCGUCUGUACUUCAUAUUGAGGAUAGUAUCAAAUGUUAGAACUUUGUACUAAAACUAAAAAGUGAUAAUGUCUGUCUAUGUUCAGCAUUAAGUAACUACUAAUGAGAGGUAGGCUAUAGGAACUUGGGUUUGUAAGCAUCUUCUGAUGAGAUGCAGUUAUUUGAGUUAGAUUGAUAAUUAUAAUCACAAACUUUCAAAGGCUUUUACAAAUUUCAAGUAACUGAAAGUUUUAUGGGUAAGUUUGCUUCUUUUCUUAAUGUUAUCUUAGACUAUAUUGUGCACUAUGUAUCAAACCCUGGCUUUUCUGGUUGUAAGUUUACCAUAGUUUUCUUUUUUCUUUUUUUUUUUCCAGCACAAGCGACACAGAACCAUAGUUUUCUUAAAUCUUCAUUUGGUUUAUUAUUGUUUUUCCUACAUUUGAUUUUAACUAAUUGAUAUUAUUGUUACAGUAGUUUGUUUUAUAAUUGCAAAUUUUAAAUAACUUUGAUUUUUAUUUUGGUAUCACUUAAAUGUUUAAAAAAUGACUGUGUAUUUGAAUCUGUUGCUUUGAGCUAGCUACUUAGAAGAAAAUAUGUAUUUAUCACAAUUUCAACGCCCCUGGUAAAUUAAGAUGACUUAGCUAAUGCCUAGUAUCACAAACAGAAAUGGGUAUUCUCCUGUAUAAAAUAUGUACCUAACUCAUCAUGCAUUGGCUUUCUAUUCCUUGUUUUCGUCUUUUCUGCUUUUUUUCUGUCGAUGGGACCAAUUUGGAAUUGCUGCUUGCGCAGCUUAUAUUUGUUUGUUUUGUUUCAUCUUUCAUACCUUGACCUGGCCAGUUGUGAUAGUUUUACUUUGGUAAGGAAAUGCAUUGGAUAAGAAAGAGGUUAUGGAUCAAGAAAUGCAGACCAGUCACCGGUAUGUGAGUUUUGGUAAGAUUUUAUUGCUGGCAUUGUUUGUCUUACAGUUGAUAUCCUUGCUCCUUUUUUUUUUUUUUUUUUUUUUUUAGGACUUCUGGGUAAAAUAACUAAAUUUGAAGAAUAAUUAAAUACUAGUAAUCAAUUUUAGGUUUUAAAAGCACCUCUUUAGAGUGAGUUUACAAUGACAGUUGAAAAUGAUAAUCUUAAAAAUGCCCUCAGGUGUAUGCAUUAUAAAUACAGUUCUUAGGAGCAGUGGUGUGCGCCUGUAGUCCCAGCUACUUAGGAGGCUGAGGUGGGAAGAUCAGUCGAGUUCAGUAAUUCGAGGCCAGCUUCGGCAACAUAGCAAGAGGUCCAUCUCUUAAAAGAAAAUCUCAGCUGAAUAGAAGCUUCCUUAACAAUUAUUUUAUGUAAAAUACAUAUUUCCUUCUGUGAUAUAUGCUAGAUUGUGUUUACGUUUAAUUGAUCUUUGGUUAGAGAGCCACCCUAUGUAUUAAAAAACAGCCAUUGAUUUUGAUACACAUUCAGUUGAAUUUGACAGUAAUAUCAGAGUAAUUUAUUUACUCAAUUACCUGAACCACGCUUUUAAAAUACACUGUUGAAUGUAUUUGUUUUAAGAGGCAGAUGUCAAGUAAUGAACACAGUAAAUUCCCCUACUUUUAUUUGUCACUGCCUCUAUUUCUAAUUUAGUAUUUAACAAGUAACAACUACUUUUGUUUCAUGACUAAACCUUGCAGUAUAAAUUAAAAUGUAAUUAGCUGGGUGUAGUGGCAUGAUUUUAGUCCUAGCUAUGUGGGAGCCUGAGGCAGGAGGCUCAGUUGAGCCCAGUGAGUAUAAGUCUAACCUUGGCAGCAGAGUGAGACUAUAUCUUUUUUUUUUUUUUUUUUUUUUUUUUUUGAGACAGUGUCAGACUCUGUCUCCCAGGUUGGAAUAUGGUGGCUCCAUCUUGGUAGAGGCAUCGCAACCUCUGCCGCCCUGGUUCAGGCAAUUCUCCUGUCUCAGCCUUCCAAGUAGCAGGGAUUACAGACUCCUGCCAGUGUGCCCAGUUAGUUUUCGUAUUUUUAUUUUUCACUAUCUUGGCCAGGCUGGUCUGGAACUCCUGACCUCGUGAUCUACCCACCUUAGCCUCAAAGUGCCGGGAUUACAGGUGUGAGCCACUGUGCCCGGCCUUUUUUUUGUUUGUUUGUUUUUAAUGUAAUUGAUUAUUCAAAAGGAUUCAUUUUAAAGUUUCAAUAUUUUAGUAGUCUUUUUCAAAGGAACUUUAGAUUCAUAGCAAGAUUGUGUGGAAGGUACAGAGAUUUCCCAUAUAUCCUGUGUCAUAUACAUACACCUUCUCCCACUAUCAAAAUGUUUUACCAGAAUGAUGAAACCAGUUGCUGAAGCUAUGUUGACACGUUCUUAUCAACCAAAGUCUAUGGUUUACCUUUAGAUUUGCUCUGGGUGUACAUUCUGAGGGUUUUGACAAAUCUAUGACAUGAACCUACCAUUACAGGAUCAUACAGAGUAUUUUCACCCCCUUAAAAGCUUCUGUGCUCUGCUUCUUUAUCCCUUCCUCCUAACCCUUGGCAACCACUGAACCUUCUAUUGUCUCCAUAGUUUAGCCUUUUCUAGAAUGUCAUGUAGUUGGAAUCAUACAGUAUGUAGUCUCUUCAAAUUGGCUUCUAGUCACCUAACAAUAUGUGUUUAAGUUUCCUCUAUGUCUUUUCAUGGAUUGAUAGCUUAUUUCUUUUUAGCCCUGAAUAAUACUUUGUCUGGUUGUACCACAGUUCAUCCAUUCACCUACUAAAGAACAUCUUGGUUGCUUCCAGGUUUUAGCAAUUAUGAAUCAAGCUGCUAUAAACAUUCAUGUGUAGGUUUUUGCGUAGACAUAAGUUUACGCCUCCUUUGGAUAAAAAGCAAAGAGUGAUAUUGCUGUAUCAGUUGGUAAGAGUAUGUUUAAUUUUAUCAGAAAUGACCAAAAUGGUUACACCCAUUUGUAUUCCCUUCAGCAAUAAGUUAAAGUUCUUGUUGCGUCACAUCUUUGCCAGCAUUUGUUGUUGUCAGUGUUCAGAUUGUCACCAUUCUAAUAGGUUUUGUAGUGCUAUCUCAUUUUAAUUUGCAGUUCCGUCAAUGCAAUUAUAAUUCUAUCAAUGACAUACAAUGUGAAGUUUCAUUUUAAUAAUCAUGUAGCUGAGGAAUAUUUUCCCAGAUAUUCAUGGGUGAAGAUAUUUAGGAAUGCAUGUAUUAAGGGGAGAAAACCCGCCUUUGGGUAUGUGUAUGUAUGUAUAAAUAUAUACAUACAUACAUAGAGUCUUAUUUUUUAAAACUAUUUACCCCCUCCUUAACUAGCAGCAAAUAAUACAGUGUAUUGGAAAUUAUUGUUUUUAAUUGCCUGAAUUUAAAUGUUAAGUUUUCCAAGCAUUCACUGUUGGUUAGGUUGGAAAGUUUACAUGCUAUUGAGUUGUAUCAAUAGGAAUGUGUAUUUUUUUCCUCUUCAGUUUAAAACUUAAAAAACUUUUUUUGGAGCGAGGUCUGAUUCUGUCACUCAGGCUGGAGCACAGGUGGCACAAUCAUAGGUCACCAUAACUUUGAAUUCCUGACCUCAAGGGAACAUCUUGCCUUGAUCCCCCAAAGCCCUGAGAUUACACCAUGCCUGACCCUUUUUUACCUUUUUUUUU